Molecule: long non-coding RNA, 351 nt
Filed under: Ictidomys tridecemlineatus (thirteen-lined ground squirrel)
Lineage: Eukaryota; Metazoa; Chordata; Mammalia; Rodentia; Sciuridae
Description: lncRNA (ENSSTOG00000033296.1)
Source: RNAcentral
GAGAAACUCUGGGACAAGAGAAUGGGACUUAUAGAAUCAAGAAACUAUCCCUGAGUCACAUCAAGAUGGCACUUGUCUCCAACACUUGUUAUCCUUCCUGAGAUGGUCAUCAUCGUCUUCACAGACCUCCACUUGUCUUGACUUCCCUCACCCCUUGGAGUCUUCUCUCCAGAACAGUAACCAUACCAUCUGACUGCACAGGAAAGGAGGAGUGAGAACUCAAUAAGCUGCCACUCACUGUAUAUCACAUUAUAAACACUUCACAAAGCCUCUUCACAAAUGCACCUCAUUUGAUCCUAAAAACAACCAUAUAUGAGGUAAGCAAAGCAAGUAUCACCAUUUCCAUUUUAA